AAGCCAUGGUGUGGUCACCUUCUUAAUAGAUCUUUGUAUCUCUCCCAUGCAUCGUAAAGUGUCUCUAAGUCCAUCUGCACAAAAGAAGAAAUAUCAUUACGCAACUU
Non-coding RNA from Gossypium arboreum, 107 nucleotides. The record is from Rfam. Lineage: Eukaryota; Viridiplantae; Streptophyta; Magnoliopsida; Malvales; Malvaceae.